UGAGGAAUAUUGGUCAAUGGACGCAAGUCUGAACCAGCCAUGCCGCGUGAAGGAUGAAGGCCUUCUGGGUUGUAAACUUCUUUUAUUGGGGAAGAAAACUACGGUUUCUACUGUAGCCGACGGUACCCAAGGAAUAAGCACCGGCUAACUCCGUGCCAGCAGCCGCGGUAAUACGGAGGGUGCAAGCGUUAUCCGGAUUCACUGGGUUUAAAGGGUGUGUAGGCGGGUCUGUAAGUCAGUGGUGAAAUCUCCGGGCUCAACCCGGAAACUGCCAUUGAUACUAUAGGUCUUGAAUACCGAUGAGGUGGGCGGAAUAUGUCAUGUAGCGGUGAAAUGCAUAGAUAUGACAUAGAACACCAAUUGCGAAGGCAGCUCACUAAACGGUCAUUGACGCUGAGGCACGAAAGCGUGGGGAUCAAACAGG
This 424-nucleotide ribosomal RNA is filed under the name uncultured bacterium. Its description in RNAcentral is "bacterial SSU rRNA". It matches the Rfam family "Bacterial small subunit ribosomal RNA", at positions 355 to 776 of the family's 1533-position model. The record is from RNAcentral.